RNAcentral lists this small nuclear RNA (135 nucleotides) under Canis lupus familiaris (dog). RNAcentral describes it as "U2 spliceosomal RNA (multiple genes)". It matches the Rfam family "U2 spliceosomal RNA". Rfam says of the family: U2 is a small nuclear RNA (snRNA) component of the spliceosome (involved in pre-mRNA splicing). Complementary binding between U2 snRNA (in an area lying towards the 5' end but 3' to hairpin I) and the branchpoint sequence (BPS) of the intron results the bulging out of an unpaired adenosine, on the BPS, which initiates a nucleophilic attack at the intronic 5' splice site, thus starting the first of two transesterification reactions that mediate splicing. Lineage: Eukaryota; Metazoa; Chordata; Mammalia; Carnivora; Canidae. The record is from RNAcentral.
AUUAUUUCUCAGCCUUUUAGCUAAGAGCAAGGGUAGUAUCUGUUCUUAUCAGUUUAAGAUACUUUAUCAUAUACUAGAUUCUUAGAUAUGAUCAACAACAAGGCCUAUACAUUCUGUCACAUUGAUUUAUCCAUU